RNAcentral lists this ribosomal RNA (497 nucleotides) under uncultured bacterium. Its description in RNAcentral is "partial 16S ribosomal RNA". It matches the Rfam family "Bacterial small subunit ribosomal RNA", at positions 28 to 507 of the family's 1533-position model. The record is from RNAcentral.
GAUGAGCGCUGGCGGCGUGCCUAAUACAUGCAAGUCGGGCGAACGGACGAGAAGCUUGCUUCUCUGAUGUUAGCGGCGGACGGGUGAGUAACACGUGGAUAACCUACCUAUAAGACUGGGAUAACUUCGGGAAACCGGAGCUAAUACCGGAUAAUAUUUUGAACCGCAUGGUUCAAAAGUGAAAGACGGUCUUGCUGUCACUUAUAGAUGGAUCCGCGCUGCAUUAGCUAGUUGGUAAGGUAACGGCUUACCAAGGCAACGAUGCAUAGCCGACCUGAGAGGGUGAUCGGCCACACUGGAACUGAGACACGGUCCAGACUCCUACGGGAGGCAGCAGUAGGGAAUCUUCCGCAAUGGGCGAAAGCCUGACGGAGCAACGCCGCGUGAGUGAUGAAGGUCUUCGGAUCGUAAAACUCUGUUAUUAGGGAAGAACAUAUGUGUAAGUAACUGUGCACAUCUUGACGGUACCUAAUCAGAAAGCCACGGCUAACUACGUG